Molecule: long non-coding RNA, 571 nt
Organism: Bubalus bubalis (water buffalo)
Lineage: Eukaryota; Metazoa; Chordata; Mammalia; Artiodactyla; Bovidae
Exons: 3
Source: RefSeq, a predicted model, not a curated record
AAUCAGUGCAGAUGCGUCUUUCAUUGAUGAGUAUAUUGCCCGCACUUCACACACCUAGAAGAGGUGGCUGCUGAACAUUGGAGCCUCUGCCAGCUGCUGAAAAUCCUGCCUGAACUGCUUGGGGCCAGGAGGAUGGGUCACAGGAGGCCUCCAGGUACCAGGAGCACCAGCUAUGCUUUGUUUCUCUGUGGGUGGAAAAUAUUCUGUGACUCAGGGAGGCAGCUGGAGACCAAAGCACCACUUAAAGCCGGGCAGCAGCUCAGGAAGAAUGAAUGGCCUGUAAUUAAAGCUCUCUCUGCUUCGUUGCGGCAGCUAAGAGGUGAGGCUGUGGAACCUGUGGAUUGCGCUACCUGGGCUCCCUCAUCUUCUGGCUUCUGCUUGAGUCUGGCCAGUGAGAGGACAUCAUGGUGAAGGUGGGAGAGAAGCAAUGAGGGUCUUGAUUCGUACCCAUUCUGUGGAGAUACAAUGUCUCCGACUUUAGCCCCCUUCCACAUCUCCUGAUUAUGGGGUCAUUCCUCUUCCAUGGUUCUAUUUCUUUCUCUUUCUUCCUAAAUAGUUUUAACUUAAAAAA